RNAcentral lists this non-coding RNA (28 nucleotides) under Rattus norvegicus (Norway rat). Lineage: Eukaryota; Metazoa; Chordata; Mammalia; Rodentia; Muridae. The record is from RNAcentral.
UGUCAAUAUGUGUAUAUGUAUAGUGAGC